CCCUACGGGACGCAGCAGUGGGGAAUAUUGGGCAAUGGACGCAAGUCUGACCCAGCAACGCCGCGUGAAGGAAGAAGGCUUUCGGGUUGUAAACUUCUUUUAAGGGGGAAGAGCAGAAGACGGUACCCCUUGAAUAAGCCACGGCUAACUACGUGCCAGCAGCCGCGGUAAUACGUAGGUGGCAAGCGUUGUCCGGAUUUACUGGGUGUAAAGGGCGUGCAACCGGGCCGACAAGUCAGAUGUGAAAACCACGGGCUCAACCUGUGGCCUGCAUUUGAAACUGUUUUUCUUGAGUACUGGAGAGG
Molecule: ribosomal RNA, 305 nt
Filed under: uncultured bacterium
Lineage: Bacteria
Description: bacterial SSU rRNA
Rfam family: Bacterial small subunit ribosomal RNA
Source: RNAcentral